Phyllopteryx taeniolatus (common seadragon) is the source of this 11179-nucleotide RNA transcript. It is a transcript of the gene named neural cell adhesion molecule L1-like protein, with no coding region annotated. Lineage: Eukaryota; Metazoa; Chordata; Actinopteri; Syngnathiformes; Syngnathidae. The transcript has 26 exons. The record is from RefSeq and is a predicted model, not a curated record.
GGUGGGAGGAGCAGGCGUUUCACUGGGGCAGGCCUGAGGUGGAGUAGGAAGGACAUGUCAGAAGUUAGUUCAGACAGAGGAGUUGGAACGCUCCCCUGAUGGUGCUGUUUUUGGAAUUCUAGCUAUUCCCCAUGCACUUAAGGAUGUAGAAUGACUCAAGAAUUAAAGGGGGUGAUGAUGCUGGCAGGGAGUCUCCAGCUUGUCCUACUGCUGGCCCUGAGCACCGAGGCCACAAGCCUCAAUAUCCCUCCAGAAGUGGAGCAGCUUCCUACUAUUGUAUUUCACACAACGGGGCCCAUUAUUGCACUUCCGUACGACAACAUUGUGACAAUCAGAUGUGAAGCAAGGGGAAACCCUCCCCCCGAAUACAGAUGGACGAAAGAUGAUCUCGACUUUAUCCCUCCCCAGCCUGCAACAAUCAAAAGUGACCAACUUGCCACAGAUGGUACUUUUGUACUUCAAAACAAAAGCCUUGCUCGAUUUCAGGGUAAAUAUCGAUGCUACGCUUCCAACAAGCUGGGAACCGCCAUAACAGAGACCGUUGAGCUAAUAGUACCUAGUAUGCCAAAAUUUCCAAAGGAAACAAUUGAACCAAUUGUUGUUGAGGAGGGAGAACCUUUCGUCCUGCAGUGUAACCCUCCAGAGGGCGUUCCCCCAAGAAAGAUCCACUGGAUGUCCAUUGGUCUGCAGCACAUUGAUCAGGAUGAGAGGGUUUCCAUGGGCACUGAUGGCAGCCUGUACUUCUCUCAUGCCUUACAGAAAGACAGUCGUCCGGACUACUGCUGCUUUGCUGACUUUCUCCGCAUACGCACAAUCGUCCAGAAGCCCGCUAUGGCAGUUGAGGUCAAGCCAUGGACACCAGAGUAUGAAUCUUCUGACAGCAGUGAUGCCAGCCCCCCUGUGAGAACACCCAGCCUUCUGCUUCCCUCUGGUGUUCAGACUGAGAAAGUGCUCUUGAAAGGCGCAGAGCUUCAGCUUGAGUGUGUACCAGGGGGAUAUCCCACUCCAAAGAUAGAAUGGAUGAAGAUGGGAGAGAAACUUACCGCUCGAACAAAAUUUGACAACUUUGGAAAACUAUUGACCAUACCUGCAAUAGAGGAAAGUGAUGAGGGCAAAUACAUGUGCUUAGCCAAAAACUCAGCUGGACAUGCUGUCCAUUACUUUGAUGUAAUAGUAGAAGAACCUCCAAAGUGGCUGACAGUGCCGUCUCACAGCCAGCUGACUGUGAUCGGCUCUGAUGUGUACAUCAGGUGCUCGGUCAGCGGGAAACCACAACCAGACAUAAUGUGGAAAAAAAAUGGACACAUUUUUGAAGAUGACCCCCUGAACAACAAACGAGUGCUUGAUGACACACUGGUGCUCCACAAUGCCAUGCCAGAUGACAGUGGCGUCUACCAGUGUGAAGCAGUCAACAGACACGGUCUUGUUCUAAGCAACAUUAACAUCAUGGUCAUGAAUAUGGCUCCUCUGAUCCUUACUGAGGACUACCAGGAGUAUGCAGUGAUACUUGGCGAGAACGUGACCAUGAACUGUAGUGUUUUCGGCUCGCCUCCUCCCACUAUCUCUUGGGCCAAAGAUGAGACUCCAGAAACCAUUGAGGGAGAAAGAUUUGUUGCCCUUCAAAACGGGUCGUUACAAAUCUACAGUGUGGAGAAAAAAGACAGCAGCGAAUAUCUCUGUGUUGCCGAUAACAGCGAGGGCAAGUCGUCUAUCACGGCUGUGCUGGCAGUGAAAGACCCCACACAUAUUGUAAAUGGACCUCAGGACAUGCAGGUCAUCAGUGGGACCACAGCCCAGUUGACGUGUCAGGCUGAGUAUGAUAAAAGUCUAGAGGACUCCUUUGAGGUGGUUUGGAUAAAGGAUGGGGAGCAAAUGACACUUUCCACAGAGGAACAGUCCAGGUACUUCGUGGGUGAUGGCAUGUUGCAGAUCAUGAACGUGAACCUGAGUGAUGAGGGAGUUUAUGCGUGCAUGGCCAGAACGCGUCUGGAUGAGGAUAAUGUUACCGCCCUUCUCACAGUGCUUGAUGUUCCUGAUGCCCCGCAAAAUGUAGAGAUAAGUGAACUCAAGAAUCAGAGAAAUAUCUGUCUGGCUUGGGUGCCUGGCAGUGAUCACAACAGCUCCAUAAUAGAAUUCAUUGUGGAGUAUGAGGAGAGCCAAUGGGAGCCAGGCAAGUGGAAGGAGCUCCUCAAAGUCCCUGGUAACCAGGCAACAGCCGAGCUGGCACUCCACGGACAUCUUAACUACCAGUUCAGAGUGUACGCUGUGAAUGCUGUUGGACCUGGGCCCCCUAGUGAGCCCACUGCGCUCUACAAAACCCCCCUAGCUGCGCCUGAUAGGAACCCAGAAAACAUUAAAAUCCAAGGCCAUCUACCAAAUCAAAUGGACAUUAGCUGGGAGCCACUGUUGCCUGUUGAACACAACGGCCCAGACCUGAAGUACAAGGUGAGCUACAGGAAACUCGCUGUGGAUGACACCUGGACAGAACAUCUGGUCAAAAGACACUCCUUCAUUGUGAGGAACACAUCAACAUUCAUCCCGUACGAGAUCAAAAUUCAGAGCAGGAAUAGCCACGGAUGGGGACCAGAGCCUAGAAUUGCUACAGGUUAUUCUGGAGAAGAUGUUCCAACUGCAGCGCCACGGGAUGUUGCAGUGGAGGUGAUUAACACAACUGUUCUGAGAGUGAGCUGGACACCGGUUCCGCCUGUCACACUGAGAGGUCAGCUAAGGGGGUACCAUGUUCACUUGCUGAAGAAGCGAAGUUUCCUGAAUCCUGACAGGAUCUUGGAUGAGCGCCACACGCUGUCAUUCCCCGGGAAGAGGACUCACGCCAUUGUGCCCAGCCUUCAAGCUUUCUCAGAGUAUACGCUCACUGUCAAUGUCUUCAACAAGAAGGGAAAUGGGCCUAGCAGUGAUCCAGUCACCUUCAACACUCCAGAAGGAGUUCCAGAAAAGGUACCCAUUCUGACCACCUCCAAUGCCCAGAAAGAUUCCAUCCAGCUUGUAUGGGGUCCACCACUGGUGGCAAACGGCAUUCUGACAGGCUACCUCCUACAGUACCACCUCAUUAAUGAGACCACAAAGGAGGUGCUUGAUUCCCGGGAAAUGAACAUCACAGGGCCCGACACCACCCACUGGCAGCUGGAGGGCUUAGAAGAGGGCAGCCUCUACCUCUUUCACCUCAGUGCCUGCACUCGAGCAGGGUGUGGACCUCCACUGGCACGAGAAAGCAGCACUGUCAUUCCAGCCCAAGUCCUGGAUGUACUCCACCUCCUGCCCAAAAUCGGCUGGCAUACGUUCCAGCUCACCCGCAACCCUAAUGAGGACAAAAAAAUGGAUGGCUGGAACUCCUCCAAAGAGGCACAUGUAAUGAAUGCAUUAUUGCAACUUGAGUGUUCAUCAGGAUGUUGCAUACAAAGUACUGAAGAUCAGACAGUGAGAUGAGGCAUGUUUCUCACUAUAUCAUUUAUGGCUGCCAACAAAGGUAAAGGAAAGGUGGCGUAAAGACUCCUGUACUCCCGCCUUGCCUCCCCUGCUUCUCUGCACUUGGGUCCACCACCUUUUGCCACCAACUCCACCACACAAACCUGCAACCGUGACACUCCCAUAUUAAGACGAGUUUAGAAUGUUUUCAAGAUCCCAAAUUCUGUUGUCACGUCAACCAAUGGCCAAAAAUUUUUGUUCACCUGUUUUCAAUUAAAAAUGGUGAGGAGCAAAUGACAGUAAAAUUUUGGAAUUUGGACAUGUGAACACAAGUGGACACAAAAACUGAAGACUAUUGUAAAUCAUUAGCCUAAUAGCAUAUUUGCCAAAGUCAAUUUUUAACAUUUUUGGAAUCAAGAAAAAAACACAACUAAUUCAACAAACCAGAUAGGUCCACUUGCCUCGAUUCAACCUAUGCGGACUGACAUGACCUGCAUGACUGAGAAUCUACACAGAUGUACAGAAUUUUAGAUUUUUUUGUGGUAUUUUAAGUUAAAAAUGACCUGGGCAAUUAUGCUAUUAGGCUAACAAAACGAUUCCAUUCUGCUACCGAGGUGAACUCUUGCAUCCAGUAAAGUAUCCGGCACAGAAAGAUGCCACCUGAAUUUUUCCUACCAAGUCUAAAAUUUUCUACUCGCAUCAAAUAUUCAUCAUGAGCUGUUCAGGUGUCGGGUUUGGUGGAUUACCAUUUGGCAUCUUCUUUUCCAUCAUAGUGUGGCGCCUCUAAAUGGGAAAUACAUCCCAAAGCUUGUAUUAAAAUGCAACCAAGCUCAUGUUUGUGUUUUGUUUCGAAGUACAUUCAAUAUGUUUGAAGAUAAGUGCUAAAAACAAGUGCAAAGACUGAGAACAAUAUCGUACUGAAUUGUUGAGAUAUUGCUUAAAACUCUUUUUCACCUCCCAAAUGUUCCUAAUUUUGUGGGCAGGGCUAAAAACUAGCCUUGUGAAGUCACGUGGCUUGGGUCUAUACCCCACUAUAUAAAAACCAAGCGCCCUUAUUACAUGCAGUGGCCAUUCGGUGGAAUUUCACUGCCUUGUUCAUAAAUAACUUCACCCAGUUCUACCAGUAUAGCGUGCAAUUGGCCAUGAAACUAUGCCCACAGUUUGAAAAAACAUCUUCCCUGAAGUGUGAUAUGUUUUGUGUUAUUUGGGCAACGUGUCUUGCCGUCUGGCAACUUAUGCACGUUGUGUUGCGAGGCAGCGGUAAAAAGGACACGUUCCCGCCACUCCGCAGCUCAUUGCCAGAGAGGUUAGAGAAGCCGCUGGAGGUCCAGCACAACAGCGUUAGUGCCGUUAGCUUCACAGACUACUUCCCUCCUGCUUUGUUCGUGAAUUUCAAAGGAGGGAAACUUGUCCUCGCGGCGCGGUUUAUGGUCAUUAUGCCGACUCAGAGGCUGCUUCUCUGCAAAGCGUGUGAUAUCUCGGUCGCUGGGAAGGAAGGUGGUAUGAGUAUUUGAUUGACAGGAGAGGCGGGAUUUUCAGAGCUCUCAGCGGCACGCCCACAGCGUCUGAAAGCUGAAAGAAUGUCUAAAUUAUUGACCAUUUUGAAGCCUGAUUUCACAUACUUUGCAAUUUUUUUAUUCAUUCCUUCAUUGUUAACAAGCGUCUUCGCUGUGAUGUGUCAAAUUCCCAAGACUUUUUAUUCUGCUGUUUGGUUGCAUUUUAAGAUAUUACCCCCCAAAAAAUAUGUUUAUAAUAAUAAUCACCCAAAAGAUAUUACCAAAUCGCAUAGAAAAAAAAAAGAAUUAAGGGAGUGAAGUCUAAAUUAGGGCACUCUUGUAUGUAUACUUACUAUAGAGUAGGCUUGUUCAAAGUGUGACACAGUGAGCCUCACCUCAGAAAACAAAAUUUUCAACUGUUUAAAAAUUGCACGGUACUCAUAUGUCAAGUGUUUUGCAACUUAUCACAGUGGAUCUUACACCAAAAUUAUUUAUUACUGCCCCAGAGUGUCGCCUCGAUCACAUUACGAACCAAAAAUGUGAAUAACAGGUCUUGUUUUUUUCCUCAUGCUGCAACCCUUCCCCUUAAGACAGCUGCUGCACUGAAAAAGUCCUUUGAAUACCCUCAUUAGUUUGUCCCAGAUGACAAAAGUCACUUUUCCCCAAAUUACGCUAAAUUUUAUUGUUAUAUUAUUGCUAUUAUUUUAUAAAAAUGUUUCCAUUUUAAAUAAGUAACUUUUAUAUAGUACUUUAUAUAUAUUUAUCAAAUAUUACUUAUAUUUUCUUUUGUUUUAAAGGCAAGUACACACACAACCCCAUUUUUGUUAUUCACAUUUAUAAGAAGAAAUAUUAUAUUAGUAGUAUAUUUUAAAUAUUAUAAAUAUUUCAAUUGUGAUCAGUACGCCCUGAGAUAACCCAGUGAUUGUCAGAAACAUUGAGUUAAAUGCAUUUUUUUUGGAGUGUGCUAAAAGGAAAAAUGACAAAAAAAUCCUCCAGUGAAAACCAUGGACAAUAAAGAGAAAUAAAGGAGAAAUUAAAUUUACAGUACAAUGGACCCCUGCUAUUCGCGGGGGAUAGGGACAGGGUUUGACCAUGAAUAGCAAAAAUCUGCAAAUACUUGGCAGCCAUUAUAAUUGCAUUGAUUUAAAAAAAAAAAGUUUAACCCAAGAAAUCUUGAAUAAGUGGGGAUAUACAGUACCUCCGAUAAGCAUUUUCCAAGACAAAACGGGGUUGGUCCACCCAUUUUUGUUGUUGUUGUUAUUGAAAUUGGAGGAAUAAGUGAGUAGUUGAAUCCACGGGUGCCUGACCGCGAAUACUAAAAUAUAAUAAUCGUCGACGGUACUGUACUAUUACUGUAAUAUUAAGCCAUGCAAACACUUCCACAGAGUUUAAGUUUGGAAAAAAAUGACAUCACAAAAUUGAUUUGGAAAGUAGUCAUAAUUAGGGUUGGGCAUCGUUUGAAUCCGAGCGAUUCCGGUUCCGAUUCCGGUUCCUUAGUUCGAUUCCGUUCCAAACGGUUCUCGAUUCCGAUUCUUCUAAGGGGCUGGGUCAAAAAAGUUUGCAUGGUUUAAAUAAAGGGUGUCCAAAUUAUGAACAUCCAUUUUCUUAGCAGCCCACAGUAUAGACUAAAAUGAUUAUUUGACUCGGGGUUCUUUAUAACCAGUAUCAAUAUCGAACCUAUGAACUAAAAGGCAAUGUGUGUGGAACUAAACCAUUUGACUUAAUAUUCAUUAAUUAAUGUUUCAGCUAAAAGUUAAAUAUAGCCUUGUUAAAAUAGUUAUUUUAACUCUUUGAAGUAUUUUAUUUUAUUGUUUCACUCACCCAGUUGACUGAGAGUUGACUUCAGCUAUACAGCUGCCCCUGUAUUUUGUUUCAUCUCGUCAAAUGGUUUGUAUGUCCAAGUUUUAACUUGACUUCUUGUUUUAGGCUUGUAGCCUUUUAAUUUGCAGGGUAUGCACCAGAACUCAGCAUUUUGGCACGAAAAGUAACUUCACACGGCACCGGCGAUUGUUUCAGAAUUGUUUAUUAUUUUUUUUGAAUGGAUGGAACCAAAUGCUAUAAAACGCUGAUUCCUUUCCUUACCUGACGAUGACCUACAAGGUUAGUGUUUGUGAUACAGUGAGACAAUGUUUAUGUGAAUUUUGUCCCAAUUCAUUGAAGUUUUAGCGCAAUGUUAAGCUUGUUUUUUUUUUUUUGUCAUCGCCAUUUGAAGACUAAAAUAAACGCUAAAAACCAUCAGUGCAAAAGUGCAAGCAACUGUUUACUUUGUUAGCUGUCGCAAUGUUGGCAUAGAGGUAUUUUAUUGUUUCACUCACCCAAUUGACUGAGAGUUGACUUACCUGAAGCUCCGCGCGGUGUAGGCUGAGGCUCGGAGCACGUCAGACGCUACACAUCCUGAAAGCCUCCUUUGCACAACAUAAUCUUAUUCCAAGUGUUGCACUGAGGCGACUGGUCAUUCAUUUGAACAAAGACACACUUUUGUUCCCCGCCGCUGCCGUUGGGCACAAGCAUGUCAUCGUGCCCAUUCUUCUUCACUGGUUUACGCCGCUUCUUUGUUGCUUUUCGCCACUUCUUCGCGGCUGGAGGACUGGGAACCGAAAUGUUUAAAUUUUAACGGUUCCGGGAGAACCGGAACGUUAGUCCCGGUUCCAUUCGGUUCUUGAUUCUCGAUGCCCAACCCUAGUCAUAAUGGCAUUUAACAGUUUAAAAACUUGAUUUGUGUGAGGCCAAGAGUGUUACAUGAAAAUCAAAAGUAGAUGAAAGGUUUCUCUACAAAUAAAAGGAACAAGAAUAAAACUGACAGAGGGAAAAAUUGUCCAUUCCCUUCAUGGGGUCUCCUGAGAUAAGAGAGCAGCAGAGAUAAAGUGGGUUGCAAACUAGACAAACAGCAUCAAGAGCACAUAUUGUGACUCAAAUCUUAAGUUGUGGGAAAAAUAACCACAAGUUUCCCACUGGGAUUCAAAUAUUUGCUCUCUUGCACACAUUUGAGCACCCUGCUUGUUAUCACCAAUCUGUUGGCUGAUAGCUUUGAAAGUAGCUAAUGCUGAUAAAAGGGUUUGUUUAGAAAAAUAGUAAUCAAGAGCUCUUCAGCUUGACUGCAGUCACAAAGCAGUCAUCAGCAGAAUCAGAAUCAAUUUUAGUACAACAAGGAGUUUAUCACUAAUGCACACUGCGACAGCACACACACAACAAUAGUAUUUAUCUUUAAAGGUCUCGUAUUCUGGCUUUUUAGACCUCCAUAGACUGACUCUCUAACAUGGACUUAAUAUAAAAGUGUCAAUUUCAUUUAAAAAAAACACCUUGGUUUUGUCAUACGAGUGUCAAGAAAGGCCCCUCUGACAGUUACGUCUGUUUGACCGAGUUUUGUAUCUGCUUUGUCCAUAUUUGGCUAAGACCGCCCCCUUUCCGCUGACUGCUUGCCUCCGUCUAGAAGACCCACUUGUGAGAGCACACGUGUUUAUUAUGUUUACAGCGCUGCCUCAGGAGAGGAAAAAAAAGGCGGAGAUCGUCACUAGAUAAGCUCGAGAAAUUCAAGUGAUCUGAUUUCAGGCCUCAGGACAGAAAAACGUCUGGAACUCAGAAAUGCGUGGAUGAUUUUAAAUCAUAUUUCACAUGUUUACUGAGACACCAUAGAGACAAUAUUACAUUCCAAAUACUAGAAAAAGUUAGUUCAGCAAAAUAUGUCCCCUUUAAGUAGAGACAGUAUUGUGUUGAGGCAAAAUCUGGGUGGGAAACUGUGACUGCUCUUAACUGUAAUACCCAUCAUUAAUGUAAUGAGAGUAUUGUGAUUCAGCAAUAGCCUCAAUAUGUAUUGAGCUAUCUAACCGACUUAUUUUUAAACUAUAAGAACUGUAGAGAAACAGUUUUUGCACAUUAAGCAUACAAAAAAGUGAAACGUUGAAAAACAGCUAAAAUAAUUUCCAUUAAAUACUGGAUUUCAAGGAAUAUAUGAUCAUUAUUGACAUCCAAUGUAUUCGUCGAUCAGAUGGCAGCACUUUUUCCCAUUCAAAACAUGUAGCAACAAUAUUUUUACUGUUUUCUGUAAGCACUGAAAUAAUAGUUUACUGGUGUUGAAGUUCAACAGUAUAAUAGCGUGUAUUUUUGUAUAUGUGUGUGUGUGUGUGUGUGUGCGCACAUGCGCAUGUACGUCUCCAUCUUAAGCCUUUUCUUGCCACAUUCGGCAUUAUAGACACAAAGCAGCCAUCAGCAGUAGUAGUAAGGGCUGAAAAUCUCGUAACUAUAAUUAAUAUUAAAAAUCUAUAUUUCAGGCUGAUAUAUGUAUAUAUCCAUCCAUCCAUCCAAAGGUCAGGUGACGUGUGCAACAUAGUCAAGGUCAGAGGACUUCGAAAUUAGAUGACAAAACCCCAAUGCUGCUAAAGUGGCUUGUGGGACCCUGAGUCUAGUGUGUGAGUGUGUGUGAGUGUGUGUGCGUGCGUGUGCGUGUGUUUUAGUGUGUGUGCAUCUACAUGUUUGCGGGUCAUCAGAGUUCAGAGUUCAGGUGGGCAGAGGACAGAAGAGGUAGAGGGGGCAGAGCGGGCAGAGAGUUCAGCUUCCUGACAGCCUGAUAAAUAAAACGGUCUUUGAGUCGGCUAGUCGUGGCCUGCGAACUCCGCAGUCUCCUGCCUGAUGGCAGCAGACUGAAGAGGCUGUGUGACGGAUGGGUGGCAUCCCCCGCUAUGCGGAGAGCUUUGCGGGUGAGGCGGGUGCUGUAAAUGUCCUGCAGGGAGGGAAGAGAGGUUCCAAUGACCUUCUCAGUUGCCCUCACUAUGCGAUGGAGAGUCUUGCGACAGGAUGCAGUGCAGGUUCCGUACAACACAGUGAUGCAGUUUGAAGAAGAAGAAUCACCUUUAUUGUCAUGAACAUGCAUGGAUGCACACGAAAUGUGUUCUCUGUAUUUUACCCAUCACAGUUGGUCAAGAUGCUCUCUAUGGUCCCUCUGUAGAACGAGCACAUGAUGAGGGUCGUGGCUCUGGCUCUUCUCAGCUUGCUCAGGAAGUAGAGACGCUGGUGAGCUUUCUUGGCCAGUGAUGAGGUGUUGCUGGUCCAGGAGAGGUCCUCGGUGAUGUGCACUCCCAGGAACUUGGUGCUGCGCAACCUCUCCACCGCAGCACGGUUGAUGUUCAGGGGAGCAUGCUUGGAGUGCGCUCUCCUGACGUCCACAGCAAUCUCUCGUCUUCAAACUUGAUGAAGAGGUUGCAGCUGUAUGUCGGUGUGGAGUCAUGGGUCAGCAGGGUGAAGCGGUAUAUAUAUAUUAGGCUUUACACGAUCAGGAUUUCUGGGGCCGAUCAGCAAGUUUAAAAAAAAAACGAUAACCGAUCACCGAUCCGAUCACAAGAUGGAGCAAUGUGUCUAUUUACAUGACUUGUUCAUUUAUUGUAUAUACUUGUGUACUGUAUACUGUAUGCAUCCAUCCAUCCAUUUUAUGUACAGCUUAUCCUUACAAGGGUUGCGGGCGUGUUGGAGCCCGUCCGUCCUCGCUCAAAUUAUUCUCUAGCAUUUUAGACAAAAGUUAAAACAUCAAUGACCUCUAGGGGGCAUUCAAGGAUAGAAAUUUACUUUAUUACUUGAAUAAAAUACUGUUAAUGACAUGCUUACUCUAACUUUCUCACUGUCCCAGCUAUAUGGAUGGGUGUUGUCCAGAGUUCAAGCCCGUUUGACUUUUUAUUUAUUUUAUUCCCCCCCCCCACGCAGUGUUGCUUGAACGCGGCAUGCUCCUUGUGUACAUUCUUCAGGUGCUCGAUCAAAUUUGUGUUGAAGCAUUUACAUGACGUUCCCCACGACGUACUUCAGUUGUGCGCAAACUGCAAAUAACUUACGUGUUGUUUGUCUGACACACUGCAAAAUAGUCCCACACCGACGACGUGUUUUUUCACCGACAAGAUUGAAAAAACUUUGUUGGCCAUCAGAUAGUUACAGUACUGCGCAACAAGACACGUGACAUGGCUAAAAAUAAACUAGCUUUUGGAUUCAUACGCCACGAAAACGUAGAGUUAAAUGUCUUGUGCGGAGCCGAUGACGUCAUUGAUCGGAUCGGCGAAUUAUGACAUGAAAGCCGAUCAGCCGAUCAGUGUAUAAUGCUAAUUAUCGGCCGAUACCGAUAACACCGAUCAGAUUGGCGUAAAGUGUAAUACAUAUCCUUCCAUCUACCCAUUUGCUUAACCGCUUAUCCUCACUAUGGUAGCGGGCAUACUGGAGCCUCUCUCUCUCUCUCUCUCUCUCUCUCUCUCUCUCUCUCUCUCUCUCUCUCUCUCUCUCUCUCU